AGUUUUGUCGAAGAGAGCCUCAAACUCAGGGGCAAGGAACUGAAAUAUCGACUUUAGAGCAUACGCCACAAAAUCCGACAUCUUCAGGUGACUAAACCUUUCAUCCCUUGGAACAUAUAUACUCAAGCUCUGAUACAGUGGUAUCCUACUUUCGCUAUUAGGAUCUGCCAAAACUUUAUAAUUAGAUUCUUCUGGUUUGUAUAAAACCUUAAAAAUCAUGUAAUAAGUUUUUCGGUAAGAAUCCUGUUUGUUACCUGAUGAAGCCAGAGGUCGACCUGUUCUUCCUCUACGAGGGUAUGGAUAUUCAGUCGAACCGCCUAGAAUAGACCGUACGUGCUUUGGACCCUUAUCUGGAUCACCUAAAUCAUUGUAGAUAUCAUAGUCGUAAACCCUAUCCCAUUCCUCAAGCUUUCCAGUUCCGUUUCCUCUCAGGUUCUGCAAUUCUUCCUCUCUGUAACGACGUAGCGGUGCAGGUGUUUGGUUGGGAAGAUAUGUCUGUGCAAUGAAGUCAUUAUAUUUCUUAAUAAACGGCAUUUCAUCGACCACUAAAAAUUAGCAGGCAUGAAACUGUCUUUUAUCACAUGUUUAAUUAUUCAUCACUAGAAAAUUUGAAGCUGUUUUCUAAACGACUUUUCGAGCCGUCCUUGAAUCUGUUAUGUAAGUAUUAUUAUUAUAUAUGCACUUUUAUCUACUUGUGUUGGUCUCGUUUUUUUUUUUUUUUUGUUUCUCGUGAAAAUUUAUCAAGGCACUGAAAUAUUACCUGAUUAGCAAAAAACACACGGUCGGUCUCGUAAUAUUGAGCAGGAUAAACCCAAGAGUUGCAGACGAAAUGUACUCGGCCAUGGCCAGGUACAUCUUCAAGAGUGAGUGUCUUGAGGUAGAACUCACUGUGGUGAAAAUUUGUUACCGUAAAUGCCCCUGGAACCCCCAUCUCCUUUGUCCACUCGAACGUGACGGUGUAUGUUGCAUCCCCUGCUGUCAAAGGGCCGAUUUUGGUAAUCCAGUCUUCCAGGUACGCUAUCUUCCCGGGUUUCCCUUUCAAAUUUUCUUCUGCAAAAAGCAAAACUGGAGUCUAUUAUUAUCUUGUAUUUUUAUGCAUUUGGGUAUACAAUGGUAAUCAUGACAUCUUAGCCGUUGGAUCGUCAGUUUCGAUGCACGAGACCGUACUAAUCCAACGGUUGAGACGUCCUUUGAUCAGGAUUUUAAGUUGAAUAAAAAAGGGGCCUGUAAAAUCGUAAUCGUAAAAUUGUAGGAUUUUACAUGUCUUGUAAUUUAUUUAGCAUGCCAUAUUUUGUUUAUCUUAAGGUCAAACACUAGGUAAAGUGAUUUAGAUUUUUGAUGAAAAAGUAGGGGAAAAAAAAAUAGACUAAAAGAUUUGAAGGUAGCUGGUAGUAAAAUCGUAAAAUCAUAGGAUUUCGGGAUUCUAAUCGGGAUUUUGACUAAUGAACUUUCAGCCAAUAAUAAGCGAAGACACGCACGCGCAUACAUACCAGAAUCAUGAUCGAGGGAAGAGGUGGUGAUGAGCUGGAAGGCCACCUUCCUUCCCA
Molecule: long non-coding RNA, 1547 nt
Filed under: Erythranthe guttata (spotted monkey flower)
Lineage: Eukaryota; Viridiplantae; Streptophyta; Magnoliopsida; Lamiales; Phrymaceae
Description: long non-coding RNA (EGUT_LNC000467)
Source: RNAcentral